GACGAACGCUUGCGGCGUGCUUAACACAUGCAAGUCGAACGGAAAGGCCCUGCUUUUGUGGGGUGCUCGAGUGGCGAGCGGGUGAGUAACACGUGAGUAACCUGCCCUUGACUUUGGGAUAACUUCAGGAAACUGGGGCUAAUACCGGAUAGGAGCUCCUGCUGCAUGGUGGGGGUUGGAAAGUUUCGGCGGUUGGGGAUGGACUCGCGGCUUAUCAGCUUGUUGGUGGGGUAGUGGCUUACCAAGGCUUUGACGGGUAGCCGGCCUGAGAGGGUGACCGGCCACAUUGGGACUGAGAUACGGCCCAGACUCCUACGGGAGGCAGCAGUGGGGAAUAUUGCACAAUGGGCGGAAGCCUGAUGCAGCAACGCCGCGUGCGGGAUGACGGCCUUCGGGUUGUAAACCGCUUUCGCCUGUGACGAAGCGUGAGUGACGGUAAUGGGUAAAGAAGCACCGGCUAACUACGUGCCAGCAGCCGCGGUGAUACGUAGGGUGCGAGCGUUGUCCGGAUUUAUUGGGCGUAAAGGGCUCGUAGGUGGUUGAUCGCGUCGGAAGUGUAAUCUUGGGGCUUAACCCUGAGCGUGCUUUCGAUACGGGUUGACUUGAGGAAGGUAGGGGAGAAUGGAAUUCCUGGUGGAGCGGUGGAAUGCGCAGAUAUCAGGAGGAACACCAGUGGCGAAGGCGGUUCUCUGGGCCUUUCCUGACGCUGAGGAGCGAAAGCGUGGGGAGCGAACAGGCUUAGAUACCCUGGUAGUCCACGCUGUAAACGGUGGGUACUAGGUGUGGGGUCCAUUCCACGGGUUCCGUGCCGUAGCUAACGCUUUAAGUACCCCGCCUGGGGAGUACGGCCGCAAGGCUAAAACUCAAAGGAAUUGACGGGGCCCCGCACAAGCGGCGGAGCAUGCGGAUUAAUUCGAUGCAACGCGUAGAACCUUACCUGGGUUUGACAUGGAUCGGGAGUGCUCAGAGAUGGGUGUGCCUCUUUUGGGGUCGGUUCACAGGUGGUGCAUGGCUGUCGUCAGCUCGUGUCGUGAGAUGUUGGGUUAAGUCCCGCAACGAGCGCAACCCUUGUUCACUGUUGCCAGCACGUUAUGGUGGGGACUCAGUGGAGACCGCCGGGGUCAACUCGGAGGAAGGUGGGGAUGACGUCAAGUCAUCAUGCCCCUUAUGUCCAGGGUUUCACGCAUGCUACAAUGGCUGGUACAGAGAGUGGCGAGCCUGCGAGGGUGAGCGAAUCUCGGAAAGCCGGUCUCAGUUCGGAUUGGGGUCUGCAACUCGACCUCAUGAAGUCGGAGUCGCUAGUAAUCGCAGAUCAGCAACGCUGCGGUGAAUACGUUCCCGGGGCU
This 1346-nucleotide ribosomal RNA is filed under the name uncultured bacterium. RNAcentral describes it as "partial 16S ribosomal RNA". It matches the Rfam family "Bacterial small subunit ribosomal RNA", at positions 28 to 1381 of the family's 1533-position model. The record is from RNAcentral.